CCUACGGGAGGCAGCAGUAAGGGAUAUUGGUCAAUGGGGGAAACCCUGAACCAGCAACGCCGCGUGAGGGAAGACGGUUUUCGGAUUGUAAAACUCUGUCCUCUGUGACGAAGAUGAAGGUAGCAGAGGAGGAAGCUCGGGCUAACUAAGUGCCAGCAGCAGCGGUAAUACGUAGGGAGCGAGCGUUGACCGGAUGUACGGGGUGGAAAGGGGGCGGAGGCGGGUUGGCCAGGCAGUAGGGAAAUCCAUGGGGUUAACCCAGGAACUGCUUUUGAAACUGGCGAGCUUGAGUGAUGUAGAGGUAUGCGGAAUUCCCGGUGUAGCGGUGAAAUGCGUAGAUAUCGGGAGGAACCCCAGUUGCGAAGGCGGCCUUCUGGGCUUUAACUGACGCUGAGUCACGAACGCGUGGGUAGCAAACAGGAUUAGAUACCCCUGUAGUC
Molecule: ribosomal RNA, 440 nt
Filed under: uncultured bacterium
Lineage: Bacteria
Description: partial 16S ribosomal RNA
Rfam family: Bacterial small subunit ribosomal RNA
Source: RNAcentral